UACGUAGGGUGCGAGCGUUGUCCGGAAUUAUUGGGCGUAAAGGGCUCGUAGGCGGUUUGUCGCGUCGGGAGUGAAAUCCACUGGCUUAACUGGUGGCUUGCUUUCGAUACGGGCAGACUGGAGGUAUGCAGGGGAGAACGGAAUUCCUGGUGUAGCGGUGAAAUGCGCAGAUAUCAGGAGGAACACCGGUGGCGAAGGCGUUUCUCUGGGCAUGUCCUGACGCUGAGGAGCGAAAGUGUGGGGAGCGAACAGG
RNAcentral lists this ribosomal RNA (253 nucleotides) under uncultured bacterium. RNAcentral describes it as "partial 16S ribosomal RNA". It matches the Rfam family "Bacterial small subunit ribosomal RNA", at positions 524 to 776 of the family's 1533-position model. The record is from RNAcentral.